This 896-nucleotide long non-coding RNA is filed under the name Chloebia gouldiae (Gouldian finch). Its description in RNAcentral is "Erythrura gouldiae (Gouldian finch) lncRNA (ENSEGOG00005018419.1)". The record is from RNAcentral. Lineage: Eukaryota; Metazoa; Chordata; Aves; Passeriformes; Passeridae.
GUGGGAAUGGGAUGGGAAUGGGAUCGGGGAAUCAGGGAACUCCAGCUUCCGGUUACACACCAGGAUGGCUGCGGGAAUGGGAUCGGGAAUGGUGGGAAUGGGAUCGGGAAUGGUGGGAACGGGAUCGGGAAUGGUGGGAAUGGAAUUGGGAAUGGAGGAAAUGGGAUUGGGAAUGGUGGGGAUGGUGGGAACGAGAUCAGCGAAUGGUGGGAAUGGUGGGAAUGGGAUCAGGGAAUCAGGGAAUGGGAUCGGGAAUAGGAUUGGGAACGGGAUCAGGGAAUCAGGGAACCGGGAAUGAGGGAAUCAGGGAACGGCGAGAACCGGGAACGAGGCAACGGCGGGAAGCAGGGGAUCACGGGAAUAACGGGAAUUACGGGAAUGAGGGAAUUACAGGAAUCACAGGAAUGGGAAUAGCGGGAAUUGGAACGGGAAUGGGAUUGGGAACAGGAAUGGGAUUGGGAACGGGAAUGGGAUUGGGAAUGGGAAAGGGGCCGGGAAUUCUCGCCGAGCUCACUGUGCUUGGCCAGCAGGGCCACGUGGGACAUGUCGGCCGACCAGAUCACGUACUUCACCUUGGAGAUCUUCACCGAGGCCAAAGUCCUGGGAAAAGCCCGGAUCCGCCAUUGGGAAACGGCCCCGGGAUCGCCGGGAUCCCAGAAACAUCCAGGGGAUCCCAAAAACCCCAGGGGAUCCCAAAAACCCCCAGGGGAUCCCAAAAUCCAGCCCUGGGAUCCCANNNNNNNNNNAUCCCAAAAACCCCCAGGGGAUCCCAAAAUCCAGCCCUGGGAUCCCAGAAACACCCAGGGAAUCCCAAAAACCCCCAGGGGAUCCCAAAAUCCAGCCCCGGGAUCGCCGGGAUCCCAGAAACACCCAGGGAAUCCCAAAAACCCCCAGGG